Molecule: non-coding RNA, 152 nt
Filed under: zebrafish metagenome
Source: RNAcentral
CCCGAUAUUCUACUAUCGGUAUGCUACUCGGACAUGCGAAGUUGGUGACGAAUUGGUGUGAAGCUCCGAGAAGAAUGGAAUCCUUUAGUUGCAAGAGCUAAGAGUAUUGACUGUGAAGUUGAUGCAAUGCUGCCAGCAUCAAGGCGGCGAGG